Molecule: unclassified non-coding RNA, 418 nt
Filed under: soil metagenome
Description: partial contains 5.8S ribosomal RNA, internal transcribed spacer 2, and large subunit ribosomal RNA
Rfam family: 5.8S ribosomal RNA (bases 1-120)
Source: RNAcentral
GAUGAAGAACGCAGCGAAAUGCGAUAAGUAAUGUGAAUUGCAGAAUUCAGUGAAUCAUCGAAUCUUUGAACGCAUCUUGCGCUCCUUGGUAUUCCUUGGAGCAUGCCUGUUUGAGUAUCAUGAGCAAAUCUCAAAGUCAAUUCCUUUUGUUGAUUCAAUUGGUUUUGCUUUUGACUUGGAGGCCUUGCAGAUUUCACAGUCUGCUCCUCUUAAAUGCAUUAGCUGGAUCUCAGUAAUUAUGCUUGGUUCCACUCGGCGUGAUAAGUAUCACUCGCUGAGGACACUGUUAAAAAGGUGGCCAGGAAAAUACUGAUUGAACCGCUUCUAACGGUCUAUUAAGUUAGACAAUUACCCUUAAGUUUGAUCUCAAAUCAGGUAGGACUACCCGCUGAACUUAAGCAUAUCAAUAAGCGGAGGA